GAUGAACGCUGGCGGCGUGCCUAAUACAUGCAAGUCGAGCGAACAGACGAGGAGCUUGCUCCUCUGACGUUAGCUGCGGACGGGUGAGUAACACUUGGAUAACCUACCUAUAAUACUUUGAUAACUUCGUGAAACCGGAGCUAAUACCGGAUAAUAUAUUUAACCGCAUGGUUCAAUAUUUAAAGACGGUUUUGCUGUCACUUAUAGAUUGUUCCGAGCCGCAUUUGCUAGUUGUUAAGGUAACGGCUUACCAAGGCAACGAUGCGUAGCCGACCUGAGAGGGUGAUCGGCAACACUGGAACUGAGACACGGUACAGACUACUACGGGAGGAAGAAGUAGGGAAACUUCAGAAAUGGGCGAAAGAUUGACGGAGCAAAGCCGCGUGAGUGAUGAAGGUCUUCGGAUCGUAAAACUCUGUUAUUAGGGAAGAACAAAUGUGUAAGUAACUAUGCACGUCUUGACGGUACCUAAUCAGAAAGCCACGGCUAACUACGUG
Molecule: ribosomal RNA, 497 nt
Filed under: uncultured bacterium
Lineage: Bacteria
Description: partial 16S ribosomal RNA
Rfam family: Bacterial small subunit ribosomal RNA
Source: RNAcentral